RNAcentral lists this long non-coding RNA (1143 nucleotides) under Malus domestica (apple). Its description in RNAcentral is "long non-coding RNA (MDOM_LNC008402)". The record is from RNAcentral. Lineage: Eukaryota; Viridiplantae; Streptophyta; Magnoliopsida; Rosales; Rosaceae.
CAACUUUUUGGGCUAUGUUGCAAAACUUAAACUUUUGAGCUCAUUUUGUAAAAACACAAAAGUCCAUUACUUCAUGUAAUUACAACUAGAACCCAAAAAUUUCAACAAAUUCAAAAACUUCAUUAAAGGAACAAAACAAUUUGUCCUUUAAUGAUUUUGGGCCUUUACGUAAAUACGUAAACUUUUGGGGUCAAAGUGCAAAUACACAAAAGUAUCAAAACUUUAUGUAAUUGCAUAAAAGCCCCAAAACUACCCCACUUGUAGGGUGGCCGGUUUUGGUGAGAGUGAAGGGAGUGAUGUGUGUUGAUUUGUAGGUUUGACAUAAAGUCAUGCAAGUGGUGUGUGUGUAAGAGAAGUACUUCUUACACACCCAUCACCAUUUCUAUCACCUUUCAAAAUUUCAAUCACAUUUAAACAUUUGAAAAAGCACAAAACAAAGACUUUAUGAAAUAAAUCAAAACACCAAACCUUUUUGUUCUUGGUAAGAACCUCAAGAACAAUGAAGAACAUCCAUGAAAACCCAUAAGAGUUCCAUGAACAUUUUCACUCAAUAAAACACAAAUUUUCACUACUCAAAAUGGGGUUAACAUCCUAGGGUACUUAGGGGUUCCAAAAGUCACCUUAAACACUUUUAACAAGACAAACAAGAACCCAAAAAAAACCACCAUUUGGAUUAGCCGAAUUUCCCCAAAAACAUGGCACCAAAUUUUAGCUCCAAAAUUCAUGCUCAUAUGAACUACAUCUACAACAUUUGAGAUGGCAAAUUUUCUAACAAAAUUUACAUUCAAAGAAGCAAGAAUACAGCUGUAGACAUCGAAAUUUCGGUAAAAUAAAUGUUGAUCAAUAAUUAAAAUUUCAAUGUUUAUGUGUCACAUAAAUUUUACACAUAGCAUGUGACUAAACGAAAAAUUAAAAUAAAUCGGAAAAGUCAUCAAACAGGACACAUGUCAACACCUGGCAGAAAUGAUUUAUUUCAUCUGAUUAUUUAAAUCCAAAAAAAUCAAGUUUUGGAAUUCUAUAAAUAGGAGGCCAAGGCAUUCAUUUUUGGACACCAAUUCAUAACCAAUUCACCUUAUACCACAACCUCGAAGCUUUGAAACUCCAAAGCUCCUAAGCAAAUCCCGAAGGAUCAAGAAAGCUCUC